AAAAAGGGCUUCUGUCAUGAGUGCCACACACCAGGCGGUUCAUUUGCUCUUUAUGUGGAAUCAACAUCAAGAGAUUUUGGAAGCACAAUUUUUUGACACUCAGGCAGCUGGUGAUUGUUGGUCCUGGCGCCGCC
Small nuclear RNA from Manis javanica (Malayan pangolin), 134 nucleotides. RefSeq annotates it as U11 spliceosomal RNA. Lineage: Eukaryota; Metazoa; Chordata; Mammalia; Pholidota; Manidae. The record is from RefSeq and is a predicted model, not a curated record.